RNAcentral lists this ribosomal RNA (414 nucleotides) under uncultured bacterium. Its description in RNAcentral is "bacterial SSU rRNA". It matches the Rfam family "Bacterial small subunit ribosomal RNA", at positions 355 to 767 of the family's 1533-position model. The record is from RNAcentral.
UAAGGAAUAUUGGUCAAUGGACGCAAGUCUGAACCAGCCAUGCCGCGUGAAGGAUGAAGGUCCUCUGGAUUGUAAACUUCUUUUAUCUGGGACGAAAACGGGAUUUUUAUCUCAAUUGACGGUACCAGAGGAAUAAGCACCGGCUAACUCCGUGCCAGCAGCCGCGGUAAUACGGAGGGUGCGAGCGUUAUCCGGAUUUACUGGGUUUAAAGGGUGCGUAGGUGGGCUUAUAAGUCAGUGGUGAAAUCUCCGAGCUUAACUUGGAAACUGCCGUUGAUACUAUAGGUCUUGAAUUAUCUGGAGGUAAGCGGAAUAUGUCAUGUAGCGGUGAAAUGCUUAGAUAUGACAUAGAACACCAAUUACGAAGGCAGCUUACUACAUAUAAAUUGACGCUGAGGCACGAAAGCGUGGGGA